Astatotilapia calliptera (eastern happy) is the source of this 1095-nucleotide long non-coding RNA. The record is from Ensembl. NCBI's taxonomy places the organism in Eukaryota, Metazoa, Chordata, Actinopteri, Cichliformes, Cichlidae.
CUGGACUUGUGGCAAAACGUGAAAAGAACGUGUAAAGGACUCCUCGUCUAAACUGACUGAUACUGGCCCCAAUGUUUCUGCCCGGUCUAUGAAGUUGUCUUGUUUUUUUAAUUUUGUCCACACACUAAUGUGAGGAGAUGCUACACCCUGUUGACCAACAGAAUGGAGCUUUGCAAAAAGUGUCUAAAGUUUUUGUUUUUUAGGGGUUUUUUUAACCCAGACAUUUAUUUUUUCUAAACCUAAUGAUGCAGGAAGGUAACAGCUGAUACUUAGAAGUUGGACAAAGUAAAUAGGAGGUUUUUAUUUUAAAGAUCUGGCACCUUUAACCUAUCUGAUAAACUUUUGCAACUGACUACAGGCUUUUGUUUUAGUUUUUAGUUGUUUUUUUUUGUUUUGUUUUGUUUUUCUGUGAGAUGGAAAAAAAUAAUCCUUUUGAAUUCCUAUAACUAUCCCAGGGUUUUUAUUUCGAAAACCAGACACCACUGUGGUCGAAUAACUUUAUGUGUCUAAAUAAGAGAUUUUAUGUUGAAAAGCUGCCAGAGACCAGGUGCUUCUGUGCUGCUGUCUGUUGUCCAGCAGUAUGUGUCUGUGAGAAAGACUGACCAAUCUGUCUUAUAGAAGUCUAUGGGAAAACAGUCCUCACUGGCUAAGUGACCUUAGUAAACUUUCCUGAUGCAUUUAUGGGCUUAAUCACUGAUUUUAAAACUUUAAGACUUAAUGAAUAAAAUGUGAAGUUAAUGUUACAAAUUAUGGACCCAAAUUAUAUAGUCUCUGACUAUAACAGUGAAAACUGAGCCAGGGGCUCUGCUGCUGCUCUCCACUCAGCUUGCCAAGCUUCACCCUUCAUUAAGAAAAAAACGGCACGUCAAUAAAAAUGACAAUGACAGACAGGUAGUAAAUGUAAAGGCAACAGCCACAGUGACCUCUGGUCACUAAGGGAAAAUGUGUAUUCCUUGACUAGUUAGUGAGUGGUUGUUGGGUCGCAAAUAGGGUUAAGCACUAAAAACCUCCUUGUAGUUGUUUUGGUCACUAGCAGAUUGCCAUAGUUGUCUAUAAGAAGCAUGGAAGACCCCAACUUGUCUGCAAACACUUGCU